Molecule: ribosomal RNA, 910 nt
Filed under: Aspergillus deflectus
Lineage: Eukaryota; Fungi; Ascomycota; Eurotiomycetes; Eurotiales; Aspergillaceae
Description: LSU rRNA
Rfam family: Eukaryotic large subunit ribosomal RNA
Source: RNAcentral
GCAUAUCAAUAAGCGGAGGAAAAGAAACCAACCGGGAUUGCCCCCAGUAACGGCGAGUGAAGCGGCAAAAGCUCAAAUUUGAAAUCUGGCCCCUCCGGGGUCCGAGUUGUAAUUUGCAGAGGAUGCUUCGGGUGCGGCCCCUGUCUAAGUGCCCUGGAACGGGCCGUCAGAGAGGGUGAGAGCCCCGUCUUGGGCAGGGUGCCCGCGCCCGUGUGAAGCUCCUUCGACGAGUCGAGUUGUUUGGGAAUGCAGCUCUAAAUGGGUGGUAAAUUUCAUCUAAAGCUAAAUACCGGCCGGAGACCGAUAGCGCACAAGUAGAGUGAUCGAAAGAUGAAAAGCACUUUGAAAAGAGAGUUAAACAGCACGUGAAAUUGUUGAAAGGGAAGCGCUUGCGACCAGACUCGCCCCCGGGGUUCAGCCGGCAUUCGUGCCGGUGUUCUUCCCCGGGGGCGGGCCAGCGUCGGUUUGGGCGGCCGGUCAAAGGCCCCGGGAAUGUGUCGCCCUCCGGGGCGUCUUAUAGCCCGGGGUGCAAUGCGGCCAGCCCGGACCGAGGAACGCGCUUCGGCACGGACGCUGGCGUAAUGGUCACAAACGACCCGUCUUGAAACACGGACCAAGGAGUCUAACAUCUACGCGAGUGUUCGGGUGUCAAACCCGUACGCGCAGUGAAAGCGAACGGAGGUGGGAGCCCCCCCGGGGCGCACCAUCGACCGAUCCUGAUGUCUUCGGAUGGAUUUGAGUACGAGCGUAGCUGUGGGGACCCGAAAGAUGGUGAACUAUGCCUGAAUAGGGCGAAGCCAGAGGAAACUCUGGUGGAGGCUCGCAGCGGUUCUGACGUGCAAAUCGAUCGUCAAAUUUGGGUAUAGGGGCGAAAGACUAAUCGAACCAUCUGGUAGCUGGUUCCUGCCGA